AUUGAACGCUGGCGGCAUGCUUUACACAUGCAAGUCGAACGGCAGCACGGGAGCAAUCCUGGUGGCGAGUGGCGAACGGGUGAGUAAUAUAUCGGAACGUGCCUUAUAGUGGGGGAUAACGCAGCGAAAGUUGCGGUAAUACCGCAUACGCCCUGAGGGGGAAAGCGGGGGAUCGAAAGACCUCGCGCUACUAGAGCGGCCGAUAUCUGAUUAGCUAGUUGGUGAGGUAAAGGCUCACCAAGGCUUCGAUCAGUAGCUGGUCUGAGAGGACGAUCAGCCACACUGGGACUGAGACACGGCCCAGACUCCUACGGGAGGCAGCAGUGGGGAAUUUUGGACAAUGGGGGCAACCCUGAUCCAGCAAUGCCGCGUGAGUGAAGAAGGCCUUCGGGUUGUAAAGCUCUUUUGUCAGGGAAGAAACAGCAGCUCUAACACAGCUGUGAAUGACGGUACCUGAAGAAUAAGCACCGGCUAACUACGUGCCAGCAGCCGCGGUAAUACGUAGGGUGCAAGCGUUAAUCGGAAUUACUGGGCGUAAAGCGUGCGCAGGCGGUUAUACAAGACAGGCGUGAAAUCCCCGGGCUUAACCUGGGAAUUGCGUCUGUGACUGUAUGGCUAGAGUGUGUCAGAGGGGGGUAGAAUUCCACGUGUAGCAGUGAAAUGCGUAGAUAUGUGGAGGAAUACCAAUGGCGAAGGCAGCCCCCUGGGAUAACAC
RNAcentral lists this ribosomal RNA (715 nucleotides) under uncultured bacterium. RNAcentral describes it as "bacterial SSU rRNA". It matches the Rfam family "Bacterial small subunit ribosomal RNA", at positions 28 to 740 of the family's 1533-position model. The record is from RNAcentral.